RNAcentral lists this ribosomal RNA (451 nucleotides) under bacterium f3(2011). RNAcentral describes it as "SSU rRNA". It matches the Rfam family "Bacterial small subunit ribosomal RNA", at positions 389 to 833 of the family's 1533-position model. The record is from RNAcentral.
GAGCAACGCCGCGUGAGUGAAGAAGGUUUUCGGAUCGUAAAACUCUGUUGUAAGGGAAGAACACGUACGAGAGUAACUGCUCGUACCUUGACGGUACCUUAUUAGAAAGCCACGGCUAACUACGUGCCAGCAGCCGCGGUAAUACGUAGGUGGCAAGCGUUGUCCGGAAUUAUUGGGCGUAAAGCGCGCGCAGGCGGUUCUUUAAGUCUGAUGUGAAAGCCCACGGCUCAACCGUGGAGGGUCAUUGGAAACUGGAGAACUUGAGUACAGAAGAGGAAAGCGGAAUUCCACGUGUAGCGGUGAAAUGCGUAGAGAUGUGGAGGAACACCAGUGGCGAAGGCGGCUUUCUGGUCUGUAACUGACGCUGAGGCGCGAAAGCGUGGGGAGCAAACAGGAUUAGAUACCCUGGUAGUCCACGCCGUAACGAUGAGUGCUAAGUGUUAGGGGGUUU